RNAcentral lists this ribosomal RNA (2906 nucleotides) under Salmonella enterica subsp. salamae serovar 6,7:m,t:-. Its description in RNAcentral is "23S ribosomal RNA". It matches the Rfam family "Bacterial large subunit ribosomal RNA". Lineage: Bacteria; Pseudomonadati; Pseudomonadota; Gammaproteobacteria; Enterobacterales; Enterobacteriaceae. The record is from RNAcentral.
GGUUAAGCGACUAAGCGUACACGGUGGAUGCCCUGGCAGUCAGAGGCGAUGAAGGGCGUGCUAAUCUGCGAUAAGCGCCGGUAAGGUGAUAUGAACCGUUAUAACCGGCGAUACCCGAAUGGGGAAACCCAGUGUGACUCGUCACACUAUCAUUAACUGAAUCCAUAGGUUAAUGAGGCGAACCGGGGGAACUGAAACAUCUAAGUACCCCGAGGAAAAGAAAUCAACCGAGAUUCCCCCAGUAGCGGCGAGCGAACGGGGAGGAGCCCAGAGCCUGAAUCAGCAUGUGUGUUAGUGGAAGCGUCUGGAAAGGCGCGCGAUACAGGGUGACAGCCCCGUACACAAAAGCGCAUGUGCUGUGAGCUCGAUGAGUAGGGCGGGACACGUGGUAUCCUGUCUGAAUAUGGGGGGACCAUCCUCCAAGGCUAAAUACUCCUGACUGACCGAUAGUGAACCAGUACCGUGAGGGAAAGGCGAAAAGAACCCCGGCGAGGGGAGUGAAAAAGAACCUGAAACCGUGUACGUACAAGCAGUGGGAGCACCCUUUGGGGUGUGACUGCGUACCUUUUGUAUAAUGGGUCAGCGACUUAUAUUCUGUAGCAAGGUUAACCGUAUAGGGGAGCCGGAGGGAAACCGAGUCUUAACCGGGCGUUAAGUUGCAGGGUAUAGACCCGAAACCCGGUGAUCUAGCCAUGGGCAGGUUGAAGGUUGGGUAACACUAACUGGAGGACCGAACCGACUAAUGUUGAAAAAUUAGCGGAUGACCUGUGGCUGGGGGUGAAAGGCCAAUCAAACCGGGAGAUAGCUGGUUCUCCCCGAAAGCUAUUUAGGUAGCGCCUCGUGAACUCAUCUCCGGGGGUAGAGCACUGUUUCGGCUAGGGGGCCAUCCCGGCUUACCAACCCGAUGCAAACUGCGAAUACCGGAGAAUGUUAUCACGGGAGACACACGGCGGGUGCUAACGUCCGUCGUGAAGAGGGAAACAACCCAGACCGCCAGCUAAGGUCCCAAAGUCAUGGUUAAGUGGGAAACGAUGUGGGAAGGCCCAGACAGCCAGGAUGUUGGCUUAGAAGCAGCCAUCAUUUAAAGAAAGCGUAAUAGCUCACUGGUCGAGUCGGCCUGCGCGGAAGAUGUAACGGGGCUAAACCAUGCACCGAAGCUGCGGCAGCGACGCUGAUGCGUUGUUGGGUAGGGGAGCGUUCUGUAAGCCUGUGAAGGUGGCCUGUGAGGGUUGCUGGAGGUAUCAGAAGUGCGAAUGCUGACAUAAGUAACGAUAAAGCGGGUGAAAAGCCCGCUCGCCGGAAGACCAAGGGUUCCUGUCCAACGUUAAUCGGGGCAGGGUGAGUCGACCCCUAAGGCGAGGCCGAAAGGCGUAGUCGAUGGGAAACGGGUUAAUAUUCCCGUACUUGGUGUUACUGCGAAGGGGGGACGGAGAAGGCUAUGUUGGCCGGGCGACGGUUGUCCCGGUUUAAGCGUGUAGGUGUGUGUUCCAGGUAAAUCCGGUUCACUUUAACACUGAGGCGUGAUGACGAGGCGCUACGGUGCUGAAGCAACAAAUGCCCUGCUUCCAGGAAAAGCCUCUAAGCAUCAGGUAACAUCAAAUCGUACCCCAAACCGACACAGGUGGUCAGGUAGAGAAUACCAAGGCGCUUGAGAGAACUCGGGUGAAGGAACUAGGCAAAAUGGUGCCGUAACUUCGGGAGAAGGCACGCUGACAUGUAGGUGAAGUGAUUUACUCACGGAGCUGAAGUCAGUCGAAGAUACCAGCUGGCUGCAACUGUUUAUUAAAAACACAGCACUGUGCAAACACGAAAGUGGACGUAUACGGUGUGACGCCUGCCCGGUGCCGGAAGGUUAAUUGAUGGGGUCAGCGCAAGCGAAGCUCCUGAUCGAAGCCCCGGUAAACGGCGGCCGUAACUAUAACGGUCCUAAGGUAGCGAAAUUCCUUGUCGGGUAAGUUCCGACCUGCACGAAUGGCGUAAUGAUGGCCAGGCUGUCUCCACCCGAGACUCAGUGAAAUUGAACUCGCUGUGAAGAUGCAGUGUACCCGCGGCAAGACGGAAAGACCCCGUGAACCUUUACUAUAGCUUGACACUGAACAUUGAGCCUUGAUGUGUAGGAUAGGUGGGAGGCUUUGAAGUGUGGACGCCAGUCUGCAUGGAGCCGACCUUGAAAUACCACCCUUUAAUGUUUGAUGUUCUAACGUGGACCCGUAAUCCGGGUUGCGGACAGUGUCUGGUGGGUAGUUUGACUGGGGCGGUCUCCUCCUAAAGAGUAACGGAGGAGCACGAAGGUUGGCUAAUCCUGGUCGGACAUCAGGAGGUUAGUGCAAUGGCAUAAGCCAGCUUGACUGCGAGCGUGACGGCGCGAGCAGGUGCGAAAGCAGGUCAUAGUGAUCCGGUGGUUCUGAAUGGAAGGGCCAUCGCUCAACGGAUAAAAGGUACUCCGGGGAUAACAGGCUGAUACCGCCCAAGAGUUCAUAUCGACGGCGGUGUUUGGCACCUCGAUGUCGGCUCAUCACAUCCUGGGGCUGAAGUAGGUCCCAAGGGUAUGGCUGUUCGCCAUUUAAAGUGGUACGCGAGCUGGGUUUAGAACGUCGUGAGACAGUUCGGUCCCUAUCUGCCGUGGGCGCUGGAGAACUGAGGGGGGCUGCUCCUAGUACGAGAGGACCGGAGUGGACGCAUCACUGGUGUUCGGGUUGUCAUGCCAAUGGCACUGCCCGGUAGCUAAAUGCGGAAGAGAUAAGUGCUGAAAGCAUCUAAGCACGAAACUUGCCCCGAGAUGAGUUCUCCCUGAGACUUAGAGUCUCCUGAAGGAACGUUGAAGACGACGACGUUGAUAGGCCGGGUGUGUAAGCGCAGCGAUGCGUUGAGCUAACCGGUACUAAUGAACCGUGAGGCUUAACCUU